This 1477-nucleotide ribosomal RNA is filed under the name metagenome. Its description in RNAcentral is "bacterial SSU rRNA". It matches the Rfam family "Bacterial small subunit ribosomal RNA". The record is from RNAcentral.
AGAGUUUGAUCCUGGCUCAGGAUGAACGCUGGCGGCGUGCUUAACACAUGCAAGUCGAACGAAGCACUUUAUUUGAUUUCCUUCGGGACUGAUUAUUUUGUGACUGAGUGGCGGACGGGUGAGUAACGCGUGGGUAACCUGCCUUGUACAGGGGGAUAACAGUUGGAAACGGCUGCUAAUACCGCAUAAGCGCACAGCAUCGCAUGAUGCAGUGUGAAAAACUCCGGUGGUAUAAGAUGGACCCGCGUUGGAUUAGCUAGUUGGUGAGGUAACGGCCCACCAAGGCGACGAUCCAUAGCCGACCUGAGAGGGUGACCGGCCACAUUGGGACUGAGACACGGCCCAAACUCCUACGGGAGGCAGCAGUGGGGAAUAUUGCACAAUGGGCGAAAGCCUGAUGCAGCGACGCCGCGUGAGCGAAGAAGUAUUUCGGUAUGUAAAGCUCUAUCAGCAGGGAAGAUAAUGACGGUACCUGACUAAGAAGCACCGGCUAAAUACGUGCCAGCAGCCGCGGUAAUACGUAUGGUGCAAGCGUUAUCCGGAUUUACUGGGUGUAAAGGGAGCGCAGGCGGUGCGGCAAGUCUGAUGUGAAAGCCCGGGGCUCAACCCCGGUACUGCAUUGGAAACUGUCGUACUAGAGUGUCGGAGGGGUAAGCGGAAUUCCUAGUGUAGCGGUGAAAUGCGUAGAUAUUAGGAGGAACACCAGUGGCGAAGGCGGCUUACUGGACGAUAACUGACGCUGAGGCUCGAAAGCGUGGGGAGCAAACAGGACUAGAUACCCUGGUAGUCCACACAGUAAACGAUGAAUACUCGCUGUUUGCGAUAUACAGUAAGCGGCCAAGCGAAAGCAUUAAGUAUUCCACCUGGGGAGUACGCCGGCAACGGUGAAACUCAAAGGAAUUGACGGGGGCCCGCACAAGCGGAGGAACAUGUGGUUUAAUUCGAUGAUACGCGAGGAACCUUACCCGGGCUUAAAUUGCAACAGAAUAUAUUGGAAACAGUAUAGCCGUAAGGCUGUUGUGAAGGUGCUGCAUGGUUGUCGUCAGCUCGUGCCGUGAGGUGUCGGCUUAAGUGCCAUAACGAGCGCAACCCUUAUCUUUAGUUACUAACAGGUUAUGCUGAGGACUCUAGAGAGACUGCCGUCGUAAGAUGUGAGGAAGGUGGGGAUGACGUCAAAUCAGCACGGCCCUUACGUCCGGGGCUACACACAUGUUACAAUGGGGGGUACAGAAGGCGGCUACCUGGUGACAGGAUGCUAAUCCCAAAAACCUCUCUCAGUUCGGAUCGAAGUCUGCAACCCGACUUCGUGAAGCUGGAUUCGCUAGUAAUCGCGCAUCAGCCAUGGCGCGGUGAAUACGUUCCCGGGCCUUGUACACACCGCCCGUCAAGCCAUGAAAGCCGGGGGUACCUGAAGUACGUAACCGCAAGGAGCGUCCUAGGGUAAAACUGGUAAUUGGGGCUAAGUCGUAACAAGGUA